CGUCAGGUUCUAGAUUGUUUACCCUAAAACGUGUCACUAUAGCGAAUAAAAUUAUCAUAUGAAACAGAAUAUGGUCAAAUGUACCUAGUCGGCCCACGGAAUAUUGUAAUAAAUCUAAAGAGCAGGGUCGCUGCCUUGCAUGCAACAAGUUAAUUUAGUCCAUGAUUGUAGUGAUUAACAGGUUGGCCAUGUUACGCUUGUCUUCUAUAGCCCCCCACAUGAG
This 223-nucleotide long non-coding RNA is filed under the name Eucalyptus grandis. Its description in RNAcentral is "long non-coding RNA (EGRA_LNC007034)". Lineage: Eukaryota; Viridiplantae; Streptophyta; Magnoliopsida; Myrtales; Myrtaceae. The record is from RNAcentral.